CAGCCCUUGACAUGGCAGGACGGUUUCCAGAGAUGGAUUCCUUCACUUCGGUGACCUGCACACAGGUGCUGCAUGGCUGUCGUCAGCUCGUGUCGUGAGAUGUUGGGUUAAGUCCCGCAACGAGCGCAACCCUCGCCUUUAGUUGCCAUCAUUUAGUUGGGCACUCUAGAGGGACUGCCGGUGAUAAGCCGGAGGAAGGUGGGGAUGACGUCAAGUCUUCAUGGCCCUUACGGGCUGGGCUACACAUGUGCUACAAUGGCGGUGACAGAGGGCAGCUAGUCCGCGAGGAUAUGCUAAUCCCUAAAAGCCGUCUCAGUUCGGAUUGCACUCUGCAACUCGAGUGCAUGAAGUUGGAAUUGCUAGUAAUCGCAGAUCAGCACGCUGCGGUGAAUACGUUCCC
RNAcentral lists this ribosomal RNA (400 nucleotides) under uncultured bacterium. Its description in RNAcentral is "bacterial SSU rRNA". It matches the Rfam family "Bacterial small subunit ribosomal RNA", at positions 975 to 1375 of the family's 1533-position model. The record is from RNAcentral.